Molecule: ribosomal RNA, 495 nt
Filed under: uncultured bacterium
Lineage: Bacteria
Description: bacterial SSU rRNA
Rfam family: Bacterial small subunit ribosomal RNA
Source: RNAcentral
GACGAACGCUGGCGGCGUGCUUAACACAUGCAAGUCGAGCGGUAAGGCCCUUUCGGGGGUACACGAGCGGCGAACGGGUGAGUAACACGUGGGUGACCUGCCCUUAGCUCUGGGAUAAGCCUGGGAAACUGGGUCUAAUACCGGAUAUGACUCCAUGACGCAUGUUGUGGGGUGGAAAGCCUUGUGCGGCUAGGGAUGGGCCCGCGGCCUAUCAGCUUGUUGGUGGGGUGAUGGCCACCAAGGCGACGACGGGUAGCCGGCCUGAGAGGGCGACCGGCCACACUGGGACUGAGAUACGGGUCAGACUCCUACGGGAGGCAGCAGUCGGGAAUUUUGGGCAAUGGGCGCAAGCCUGACCCAGCAACGCCGCGUGAAGGAUGAAAUUUUUCGGAAUGUAAACUUCGCAAGAACAGGAAGAAUAAGUGUGGGACAAUACCCCACAUGAUGACGGUACUGUUUGUAAGCUCCGGCUAACUCCGUGCCAGCAGCCGCAGU